RNAcentral lists this transfer RNA (63 nucleotides) under Ornithodoros savignyi. RNAcentral's name for it is "tRNA-Trp". The record is from RNAcentral. Lineage: Eukaryota; Metazoa; Arthropoda; Arachnida; Ixodida; Argasidae.
AAGAUUUUAAGUUAACUAAAACUAUAUGCCUUCAAAGCAUAAAAUAACACAAAUUAAAUCUUA